AUUGAACGCUGGCGGCAUGCUUUACACAUGCAAGUCGAACGGUAACAGGCCGCAAGGUGCUGACGAGUGGCGAACGGGUGAGUAAUGCAUCGGAACGUGCCCAGUCGCGGGGGAUAACUACUCGAAAGAGUAGCUAAUACCGCAUACGAUCUAUGGAUGAAAGCGGGGGACCGUAAGGCCUCGCGCGGUUGGAGCGGCCGAUGUAAGCUUAGGUAGUUGGUGGGGUAAAGGUUCACCAAGCCAACGAUCUGUAGCUGGUCUGAGAGGACGACCAGCAACACUGGGACUGAGACACGGCCGAGACUCCUGCGGGGGGCAACAGUGGGGAAUUUUGGACAAUGGGCGCAAGCCUGAUCCAGCAAUGCCGCGGGCAGGAAGAUGGCCUUCGGGUGGUAGACUGCUUUUGUACGGAACGAAACAGCUCUGUUUAAUACCCGAGGCUAAUGACGGUGCCGUAAGAAUAAGCACCGGCUAACUACGUG
Molecule: ribosomal RNA, 482 nt
Filed under: uncultured bacterium
Lineage: Bacteria
Description: partial 16S ribosomal RNA
Rfam family: Bacterial small subunit ribosomal RNA
Source: RNAcentral